GGACGAACGCUGGCGGCGUGCUUAACACAUGCAAGUCGAACGGGAGUAUCAAAGAAGCUUGCUUUUAAGAUACUUUAGUGGCGGACGGGUGAGUAACGCGUGAGGAGCUGUCCUAUGCAGGGGGACAACAGUUGGAAACGGCUGCUAAUACCCCAUAAGCCGAGAGGUAAAAGGAUUUAUCCGGCAAAGGAGGCACUCGCGUCCUAUCAGCUAGUAGGUUGGGUAACGGCCGACCUAGGCGAAGACGGGUAGCCGGCCUGAGAGGGCGAACGGCCACACUGGAACUGAGAUACGGUCCAGACUCCUACGGGAGGCAGCAGUGGGGAAUAUUGGGCAAUGGGGGAAACCCUGACCCAGCGACGCCGCGUGGGUGAAGAAAUCCUUCGGGAUGUAAAGCCCUGUUGUAUGGGAAGAGCGGAAGACGGUACCAUACGAGGAAGCCCCGGCAAACUACGUGCCAGCAGCCGCGGUAAUACGUAGGGGGCAAGCGUUGUCCGGAAUUACUGGGCGUAAAGCGCACGCAGGCUGAAUUAUAAGUCGGUAGUCAAAGGCGGAGGCUCAACCUCUGUAUAUCUAUCGAUACUGUAAAUCUGGAGUAUGUGAGAGGGAAGCGGAAUUCCCGGUGUAGCGGUGAAAUGCGUAGAUAUCGGGAGGAACACCAGUGGCGAAGGCGGCUUCCUGGCACAAUACUGACGCUCAUGUGCGAAAGCUAGGGCAGCGAACGGGAUUAGAUACCCCGGUAGUCCUAGCCGUAAACGAUGGAUACUAGGUGUGGGUGUCGCAGGGCAUCCGUGCCGCAGCUAACGCGUUAAGUAUCCCGCCUGGGGACUACGGUCGCAAGACUGAAACUCAAAGGAAUUGACGGGGGCCCGCACAAGCGGUGGAGCACGUGGUUUAAUUCGAUGCAAA
This 909-nucleotide ribosomal RNA is filed under the name uncultured bacterium. RNAcentral's name for it is "bacterial SSU rRNA". It matches the Rfam family "Bacterial small subunit ribosomal RNA", at positions 27 to 960 of the family's 1533-position model. The record is from RNAcentral.